CCUACGUGAGGCAGCAGUGGGGAAUAUUGCACAAUGGGGGAAAGCCUGAUGCAGCGACGCCGCGUGAAGGAAGCAGUCUUUCGGUAUGUAAACUUCUAUCAGCCGGGAAGAAAAUGACGCUAUCUGCCUAAGAAGCACCGGCUAACUACGUGCCAGCAGCCGCGGUAAUACGUAGGGGGCAAGCGUUAUCCGGAUUUUCUGGGUGUAAAGGGGGCGUCGGCGGAGUAGCAAGUCAGAAGUGAAAGCCACGGGCUCAACCCCGGGACUGCUUUUGAAACUGUUGAACUAGAUUGCAGGAGAGGUAAGUGGAAUUCCUAGUGUAGCGGUGAAAUGCGUAGAUAUUAGGAGGAACACCAGUGGAGAAGGCGGAUUACUGGACUGUAAAUGACGCUGAGGCUCGAAAGCGUGGGGAGCAAACAGGAUUAGAUACCCGAGUAGUC
This 440-nucleotide ribosomal RNA is filed under the name uncultured bacterium. RNAcentral's name for it is "partial 16S ribosomal RNA". It matches the Rfam family "Bacterial small subunit ribosomal RNA", at positions 338 to 795 of the family's 1533-position model. The record is from RNAcentral.